UACGUAGGGCGCAAGCGUUAAUCGGAAUUACUGGGCGUAAAGCGUGCGCAGGCGGUGAUGUAAGACAGAUGUGAAAUCCCCGGGCUCAACCUGGGAACUGCAUUUGUGACUGCAUCGCUGGAGUACGGCAGAGGGGGAUGGAAUUCCGCGUGUAGCAGUGAAAUGCGUAGAUAUGCGGAGGAACACCGAUGGCGAAGGCAAUCCCCUGGGCCUGUACUGACGCUCAUGCACGAAAGCGUGGGGAGCAAACAGG
RNAcentral lists this ribosomal RNA (253 nucleotides) under uncultured bacterium. RNAcentral describes it as "partial 16S ribosomal RNA". It matches the Rfam family "Bacterial small subunit ribosomal RNA", at positions 524 to 776 of the family's 1533-position model. The record is from RNAcentral.